GCGAAAGUGGCGGAAUAGGCAGACGCGCUGGACUUAGGAUCCAGUGGGAUAAUCCCGUAGGGGUUCAAGUCCCCUCUUUCGCACCA
This 86-nucleotide transfer RNA is filed under the name Candidatus Cloacimonetes bacterium ADurb.Bin117. Its description in RNAcentral is "tRNA-Leu". It matches the Rfam family "tRNA". Rfam says of the family: Transfer RNA (tRNA) molecules are approximately 80 nucleotides in length. Their secondary structure includes four short double-helical elements and three loops (D, anti-codon, and T loops). Further hydrogen bonds mediate the characteristic L-shaped molecular structure. tRNAs have two regions of fundamental functional importance: the anti-codon, which is responsible for specific mRNA codon recognition, and the 3' end, to which the tRNAs corresponding amino acid is attached (by aminoacyl-tRNA synthetases). tRNAs cope with the degeneracy of the genetic code in two manners: having more than one tRNA (with a specific anti-codon) for a particular amino acid; and 'wobble' base-pairing, i.e. permitting non-standard base-pairing at the 3rd anti-codon position. RNAcentral also lists the same sequence under 2 other names. Lineage: Bacteria; Pseudomonadati; Candidatus Cloacimonadota. The record is from RNAcentral.